AACGCGAAGAACCUUACCUGGCCUUGACAUAGUAAGAACUUUCCAGAGAUGGAUUGGUGCCUUCGGGAACUUACAUACAGGUGCUGCAUGGCUGUCGUCAGCUCGUGUCGUGAGAUGUUGGGUUAAGUCCCGCAACGAGCGCAACCCUUUUCCUUAUUUGCCAGCGAGUAAUGUCGGGAACUUUAAGGAUACUGCCAGUGACAAACUGGAGGAAGGCGGGGACGACGUCAAGUCAUCAUGGCCCUUACGGCCAGGGCUACACACGUGCUACAAUGGUCGGUACAAAGGGUUGCUACACAGCGAUGUGAUGCUAAUCUCAAAAAGCCGAUCGUAGUCCGGAUUGGAGUCUGCAACUCGACUCCAUGAAGUCGGAAUCGCUAGUAAUCGUGGAUCAGAAUGCCACGGUGAAUACGUUCCCGGGUCUUGUACACAC
RNAcentral lists this ribosomal RNA (433 nucleotides) under uncultured bacterium. Its description in RNAcentral is "bacterial SSU rRNA". It matches the Rfam family "Bacterial small subunit ribosomal RNA", at positions 958 to 1390 of the family's 1533-position model. The record is from RNAcentral.